UAGGGAAUCUUCCGCAAUGGACGCAAGUCUGACGGAGCAACGCCGCGUGAGUGAAGAAGGAUUUCGGUUCGUAAAACUCUGUUGUUAGAGAAGAACAGCGCAUAGAGUAACUGUUAUGCGUGUGACGGUAUCUAACCAGAAAGCCACGGCUAACUACGUGCCAGCAGCCGCGGUAAUACGUAGGUGGCAAGCGUUGUCCGGAUUUAUUGGGCGUAAAGCGAGCGCAGGCGGUCAAUUAAGUCUGAUGUGAAAGCCCCCGGCUCAACCGGGGAGGGUCAUUGGAAACUGGUUGGCUUGAGUGCAGAAGAGGAGAGUGGAAUUCCAUGUGUAGCGGUGAAAUGCGUAGAUAUAUGUAGGAACACCAGUGGCGAAGGCGACUCUCUGGUCUGUAACUGACGCUGAGGUUCGAAAGCGUGGGUAGCAAACAGG
Molecule: ribosomal RNA, 429 nt
Filed under: Bacteroidota bacterium
Lineage: Bacteria; Pseudomonadati; Bacteroidota
Description: Bacteroidetes bacterium partial 16S ribosomal RNA
Rfam family: Bacterial small subunit ribosomal RNA
Source: RNAcentral